UACGUAGGGUGCAAGCGUUAAUCGGAAUUACUGGGCGUAAAGCGUGCGCAGGCGGUUUUGUAAGUCAGAUGUGAAAUCCCCGGGCUUAACCUGGGAUCUGCGUUUGAAACUACAAGGCUAGAGUGUAGCAGAGGGGGGUGGAAUUCCACGUGUAGCAGUGAAGUGCGUAGAGAUGUGGAGGAACACCGAUGGCGAAGGCAGCCCCCUGGGUUAACACUGACGCUCAGGCACGAAAGCGUGGGGAGCAAACAGG
Molecule: ribosomal RNA, 253 nt
Filed under: uncultured bacterium
Lineage: Bacteria
Description: partial 16S ribosomal RNA
Rfam family: Bacterial small subunit ribosomal RNA
Source: RNAcentral